This 239-nucleotide non-coding RNA is filed under the name Ruminococcus sp. Its description in RNAcentral is "T-box sequence". It matches the Rfam family "T-box leader". From Rfam's summary of the family: Uncharged tRNA acts as the effector for transcription antitermination of genes in the T-box leader family. T-boxes are found upstream of many aminoacyl-tRNA synthetase genes and some amino acid biosynthetic genes usually in Gram-positive bacteria. The record is from RNAcentral. Lineage: Bacteria; Bacillati; Bacillota; Clostridia; Eubacteriales; Oscillospiraceae.
UUAAAUGCUAUGACGGAAAUAAGUAGCCUUUUGCGAAAUUUCAGAGAGCUUUCGGUCGGUGCGAGAAAGCAUUUCUACAAAGUGUGAAUACAUUCCUGAGCUGUUCGCUGAGAAAGCUUUUGCGUAAGGCGAAACGGUUUGCACACGUUACCGUGCUAUGGCUUCGCUUUCUGCUGAGCCUGUAAGGUCGGGAGUUUCCCCGAUAAACUGAGGUGGUACCACGAUAAUUCGUCCUCUGA